This 321-nucleotide ribosomal RNA is filed under the name Travisia sanrikuensis. RNAcentral describes it as "partial 16S ribosomal RNA". It matches the Rfam family "Bacterial large subunit ribosomal RNA", at positions 1988 to 2517 of the family's 2925-position model. Lineage: Eukaryota; Metazoa; Annelida; Polychaeta; Opheliidae. The record is from RNAcentral.
UAGUAUGAAUGGAUAAACGAAGGCCCAUCUGUCUCUAAAGUAAUAAUCAUAAAUUAUCCUUCAGGUGAAGAGACCUGAAUAUAAAAAAAGGACAAGAAGACCCUGUUGAGCUUUAUUUUUAUUUAUUAAUUUACAACAGCUUUUAAGUACACACUAUUAAUACACAAAAUUCAGUUGGGGCGACUAGGGAACAUUUAAAACUUCCCUUUAAUUCUAAGAUUACCAAAUCUUUAUUCUGAUCCAAACAACUUGAUCAAAGAAUCGAGCUACCACAGGGAUAACAGGCUAAUCCUCCUUAAGAGCCCAUAUUGACAGGAGGGA